GAUUUCGGCUCCGAAAACAGGUGCGGCAGCAGGUUUUGCUUCCCCAAAAUCGCAGCGAGCAGGCUGACUUCUCACCAAACUCCGGCGACCAACGUCGGUGCAAGCCAUCGAGCUUCGCCACCAACAGAAAGGUAACAUCGUGAGGUUUCUAAUGAUGGGACCUGAUCGUCGAGAUUCUACCCUUAAGACCUCCGUUCAAUUAAUUCUUUGAACGACCAACCGCUGAAAUUCGGGUUCUGGACUGCUCGUCUUCUUCGCCCGAUUCCAGCCACCACCGCGCGUCAUCGUCGGUGAAAUCCAUCACCACAAGGAAGCUGCGUCUCGAGAUUUCCAACGGCACCUCCCAAUCAACGGAAUUAAAUCUCUAAGGGUGUCAGACCUAAACUUGGUUACACCAAACCCUCACUUGGAAACUUGAUAAUUCCGAUUAAUUUAGGUGAUUCCAGCCAAGACUCCGCUAGAGAGAAUGGCGGAGAUAGAGAAAACGUGAGCAAGAGAGAGAGAGAGAAGAGAGGAAGAUAGAGAGAAAGAGAGAGACGGUGAGGUAGAUAGAGAGAAAGAGAGACGGUGAGAGGGUGAGCUGGGGAGGAGAAAAGAAGAAACGUGGCUGCCGAAGGAGCAUUGUGAAUUGACGAUAUACACGUCAAUUCCUAUCUCAAAUAUAAAUUCUGAAAAUUGGCUAUAAGGCCAAAUUGUUUUCUUAAUUACGAAAUAGAUGCCAUAACUUUAGAUAAUUACAAUUCUACACUUCCCAUCAAAUUCGAAAUAUAUUAUAAUUCCAUAUUGACACAUAUCGACUAAAUAAAUUCAAUUAUCCCCAGACUUAAACAACUUACAUAUUUACGGGGUGUUACACUCUUCCCUCCUUAAAAGAAUCUGGUCCCCAGAUUCUCAACUAUUAUUCGACCAUGGAAAUGCAAUUUCCUAAAAUUAUCUUCUUUCUCAUCCGUCGUUUCUUCAACUUGGUGGUUUCUCCAUAAUACCUUCAAAUCUUGUGAUUGAGGAAUUCAUCAUUAAGAUGAAUACACUUACGCGGGUAAUCUAUCUUCAAGUCGUGUCGCUUCAAGGAAGAAUAUCCGAGAUUGAUCGAAAUAGUGUGAGCUUAGUCCUUCAAACCUCUACGAAGUGUUUCCAUGACAAUCUAUAUCUUCCCAAACUUGGUAUUGACUGAAGUAACGAGCCAAAUUACUAUCGUAAUGAAUUCGAAAUUACUUAUUCAAUUCAAAUAUGAGGUAGUACUACGAAAUACUGCUUGUGGAACCUUAAUGUCCGUGGCUCCAUUAGCAAUAUCGUACAGUUCAUUGGUCUCGUACUCGAUGUGGCCUUACCGUUGAGCAAGAUGCUAAAUAUUUAUGAUGUUCUAGAAGUUGAAGGCCGAGAUACGGUUCGUCAACCAAUUAAUGGGACUUGUGGGGUCCAUGUGCUACAAAUGGUCUGAUAAGAGGAAUGAAAGGGUAAUAAGGGUCUGAUAUCGUUCGAAACUUUAAAUCUCUCCCUAGUUAUCCGUGUCACCUUCCUCAAGAGAACGUGUUUCUUCUCCUCCGUUUCGCUCGAAAAUCUGAUGCAAUUAGAAUUAUAUAUCUAGUUCCGCAUUUGCAUAGCUCUUUUGACGAUCUCGUGUAGACUUUAUCUUUAUUUGAUAAGUCGAACUUUACCGUAGCAUUCCCUAUGAACUCCAAUCACCACUCCUUGAAUUUGCUACCAUUGGUUAUCCGCCGCUCGUUUAGUCUAGAACUGCAAGCUUGAUUGACACUUUAUUCCAUCAACACUGCGAAAAUGUUUGUACUCCAGCUCGAUAGAUUCCCAAUUAUCACGAUAAUUUGCGUUAUACGUUUUCAAGGUUCCUUCAAUGUUUCCAGUCAUCCACUCAAACGAGAAGUUAGUUUUGAGAACGUUUCUCGUACCGAGCUGAAAUUUAGUCCCCUAUUGCGGAUAGUUGCUUCCAUAACAACGAGAUGAGUUAUAAUCUAUAUCGAGAUAAUGUGAGUUAGCUACAAGAGAUAGAUUUUGAAUCUGACUCGCAACUACUUUCCCGGUCCACAAAAAUUCUCCUCAUUGGCCUGCCUAAAGUGGAAUCGAAUGCACCACAAUUACAAUCAAAGAGGACGGGCAAGCCUGAUUUACUUAUGGUAUCAACAUUGGACACUAAGAGCUUGAUUAUAGAUGGAGUUCGCAAAGAAAGGUUUUCAAAUAGUAGGUCGACCAGGCAACGGUUGAUACAAUCUUCCGGCGGUUUCGCAACCGCAUGCCUAAUAAAUACUUAUCAUAGAGAAGUCAUGACUCAGAAUAUUCGACAAUUGAGUAGCCUGAAUUCAUUCAAUUCACGAAUAUUUCAACAUAGGUCAACUAGUCUAAUGUCAUUCUUCGACACUAAGUAUGCUCUAAUCGCGUUCGAAACAUUAUACACACUAUGUCUAUCAAUGUCGAUGGUGAAUUACUUCAACCAAACUACAAGACGGGCAAAACUUAUUUAUAGCAAGUUGAACAUGCAAGCCGAAUUCUUGCAGUUGUCGUUCCCAUCUUACAAAGAAAAGUACAAUCCUCUACGGUGUUAUUGACAAAGGUGUUGUACUUUAAACUUCUUCUCCACAUAGCACUUAGCUCUUCAUAUUAAUCGAAUAGAAUUGCAAAAACUGAUAAUCCAAUGUCAAGAUAUAGCUGACUUAUCGGAUACUAGGGACUCUAGAGGUGGCUCAUGCAAGAUUAAGAGGUGGCUCCCGUUGUGUAGCACUUUGUCCCGCAGGUUCAAGAGGUGGCUCCCACAUCGUAGCACUUUGCCCUGCAUAGCACUUAGCUCCUUGUACCCUGACGAUUAGAUACAAGAAUUCAAAAUGCUCAAGAUACUUUAAGAGUCAACAACUCUAUAAACUUUCUAAGUCGUCAUAACUAUAUAACCUUUUUCCGUCGAGUAAGAUAAUCGUCGAAACUAUACCAGGUCGAAUCCAUAAGAUGAUAUAACAAUAGAUGCAUACAACCGUAGUCAUAUUACACGACAUUGCCCAAACAAGGUCCAUACUUUUACCCUGAAUUAACAAUAAUCAUGGCCUAUGAGUGAGAGGGAACAACAGGAAGCGAUAUGAAGAAGUCGAAUCACAAGGUUUCAAAGGAAUAAGAAACCUCACAGAAAAGAAGUCGAAUCACAAGGUUUCAAAGGGAUAAGAAAACUCACAGAAUAGGCUAUCCGAAUAGGCUAUCCCAAAUCAAGAAGUAUUAAAUGAGAUGAGGAAUAUCAAAAGGAACGUAACAAGAAUAUGGAAGCAUUCAAACAAGAUCAAACACCUCACUCAUGAUCAAUAAUGGGAAGGAAGUAAGAUAGUCAAGCAAUAUUGUAUUCAAAGAAUCAGAAACCUGAAAAAGUAGGUAACCGAGAUGCCGAAGUAUUGAAAUGAGAUAAGGCGUUUUGAAAUGAGAUAUGGGAUUUCCACUGUGAUCAAUAAUAACAAUGGAACAAUGCAUAUACAAGAAUCGAAUUUUGAGGCUAAAAUAACAAGAACCUCAAAAUAGGUAGAAAGAUUGACCCGAUAUCAUAAUCAUAACAAUGGUAUAGCCAAAUCAAACGAGAAUAGGGACCUCAAAGGUACUUGAACAAAAUCACGAGAUAUUCAAGGAAAUUGGAACACUGAAAAAUGUAGAAGUAUAGAUUAAGUAAAGCAAUAUUCAAGAAAAUAAAAGUCUCGACAAAUAGAUUAGCCGAAACUAUAGAGUGUUCAAAGAGAUACAAAACCUCACAAUAGAUGAUCAAAGCUGAUGGUAAUAGAAUAAAGUAAGAAGCCUCAGAAGAACAUGACCAAAGUCAUGACGUAUUCAAAAUAAAUGGAACACUAAAGAUGAAGUGAACUGAAUAAGAAGUCUCGGCAAAUAGAUAAGCCGAAACCAUAGAAUAUUUACAAAGGAUAGAAGAUGGAGAUGGUAGCACAAUAAGGUAAGGGCUUAAAAAAAGGGAUAAUCCAAACCAUGCGGAAUUUGAAGGGGUACGAAACCUCAUAAAAUCGGUAACUAAGACUAUGAGGUAUUAAAAGAAGAUAAGAGAAUCGAUUACGAUCAACAAAUGAAAUUAGACAAUAUAGGCCAACGAAUCAAAAUUGAAUUCAUUGGAAUGAUAAGGAGUGAACAAAAGAACUCCCGAAUAUUUGGUUCACCGUAAAUCAAUACUCAAAACGAGAUAAUAUGGUUUCGAUAAGGAAGUCAAGUUAUGAAGUAAAAACGAAUGGGACGUCUACAAGAAAAGGUGUUACCAAAUUCAAGUGAAACUAGGAAACUCACUCGAGAUAAACAACAUCGGAGAAUUGGAAGCCAACUGAAGUAACCAAAAGAACCAAGAAUCUCAAACUGCGUCUCAGUUCGUGUAUGAUAAAUAUUUCUACAGGGUAUUCCUCACUAUCUAUAUCCGUAAUAGAGUUAAAGUAUUAUCUCAAUGCCUCUAAUACUCGAUUAUCACCAAUCUUCUCAAUUCCCCAAGAUUCAAUUCAUAGCUCUACAAUUCUCAAAGAUCCCUUUUCACCAUCGCUCGGGCAUCCAACCCAAAGCUUUACCAACCCAAAGCUCUGAUACCACCUGUAGCGCCCCGCCCCGAGUAGCAGGCACCUCGUGGCGGAACACCACUCAACAUGCAGUACAUUCAAUGACCCCAAAUAUGCUCCUCCAAAUUUCGAUGAUCAAAACAUUAAACCCCAAUAUCUAUACCAUCUUGUUUACAAAAGGGGAUUCUAUUACAAGUCGACUUCGACACUACUUACUCAAUUACAAAAUUCUCGAUCAAAGGAUUCCUAUACGGAACAUAAAUAGAGAUGCCUCUCGACGAGACUAAUCGGAGGCAUACACGAGCUUUAACUCUCAGUAUGAAAAUUUAGGUCUAAGUCUUUCUUUUACCUGCGCAUUAAUAUCAGAAAGGAGAAACGAAUAAGUCCGAAUGACUUAGUGAAAAACAUAUGAUCCAUGAGUAUGAUGAGAAUCAACAGAACAGAACAUAUAACGAGAGACUUUACAAGAAUUUCAUUAACAAAAGUGUAACAUGUACAAGAGUGUAACAUGUACGGCUUGAGUUCAAUAUUUGGUGGGGUUUCCAACCUUGUAACUCCCAACAAAUAAAAUCAUAUCACAUCCUUAUCCCUCCAAUCCGUCCCGAGUGGCCACUCGGUCGGAAACAGGCAAGAGGCACGACCGGAACGUGCCGAUCCGGCUCAGGAACGUUUAACUCCAAACGAACGUGAGUCCGAACCAUCAGGAGGUACCAUUCGGGAGACCAGUCAUCGUCAGCCCAAUACUGCCCGAUCGUCUUGCCGAAAUGGUCCUAGGGCCCAGCUCCCCCAAGAGCGUCCUCAAGGGUGGGGACAGUAGGUUCAAGAAUCAAUAUUAUUCCUUUUAGGAAUAUCAAGUCAUUCAUUUCAAGAAUCAAGUCAAUCAUUCACAAGAUAAGUCACGAUCAUGAUAAUUGAAUAUCAAGUCUCAGGAUAAUGAACAUGUUCAGAUUUCAAUUCAAGCCAAUGAAGAAUUGUCGUGAAUAUGGAAUUCAAGAACAACAAUAAGUUCCAUAUCAGGUUCCAAGAACGAGUAUAUCAAGAUCUCGAUAUAUUCAAUAAACAUGAGAUUCAAGUUCGAGCCAACAAAAUAUUUAUUCUCGGAAGGCAUUCAAGACAAGAUUUUGAGAAUAAAUAUUAUUCAAUAUCGAUUCAAGGAAAAUGUUCAGGCCAGGGAAUCAAGUAUAGGAAUUAGCCGUGAACAUAGCAACCAAAAGAAUUGACAAGUUCAAGAUUUCAAGAACAAGAUCAAGGUUCCAAGUUCGAGCCAAGAAAACAAUAUGCUCGCAAAACAUUAAGGAUCAUAUUUCAAGAACAAAUAUAAUCAAGGUAUCGAAGGCUUCAAUAUAUACAAAAUAUUCGGUUCAAACAAAGGAGAUAUUAAGCGCAGGAAAGAAAUCGGAUAAGGAGUCAUAGUUUCUCACCUGGAGUCCAACGCUAGUGCUAUAGAAGUGCUAUAGAAGCAUCUUUAAGCUUAAACCUUGAGUCAGAGCUUUACUACGCUCAACACCUAUGCAAAUAUUAGAACUAAAUAAGAUUCCAAACAGUAAUAUAGCCAUAUUACCAUCCACUAUAUGACAUAGUCAAUUUCUUAAACAUAUACUAAGAAUUGCUUCUCGCGACAAUUUAUUCAAAUAAUCACUGCGAUCGUCGUACUUAUCCGAAUGACCUAAAUGAUAUAUAAAGUUAAAGAUAACAUCUGUAUCUACAAGUUUACUGAAGACUUUAAUCCCAAAUUAACAACAUAACCCGUCAAUAACAAUCCCGAAAGAUGAAUACAUAAACCUGCCAGAUUUUCGGAUAAUUUCGUUUGUUGUCACAGUUUCGUUGGAAAAUCAUAACAAAUCGUACAGUUAUCCAAAUUGUCCAAAUAAUACAUCAAAUGAAACCUGGAAGUUUAAUCUACAAGUUUCGUGAAGACACACAGCCUAAAUUCUGACCCGAACAUAUCGAAAACAGUCCCGCAAGAAGGUACUCAAAACUGCCCUGUUUCCGGCAGAUUACUGUCAUCGGAUUCGGACCUCUAAAACAUGCAUAUUACAUACUCUAAUUCGAUACAAUUGAACACUUACUUAUAGUUUACGAUGUCCUCUACGAGUUUCCUGAAGGAACCGAUUCCAAAUUCGCAUUCGAAACCCUUCGAUUUCGGCUCCGAAAACAGGUGCGGCAGCAGGUUUUGCUUCCCCAAAAUCGCAGCGAGCAGGCUGACUUCUCACCAAACUCCGGCGACCAACGUCGGUGCAAGCCAUCGAGCUUCGCCACCAACAGAAAGGUAACAUCGUGAGGUUUCUAAUGAUGGGACCUGAUCGUCGAGAUUCUACCCUUAAGACCUCCGUUCAAUUAAUUCUUUGAACGACCAACCGCUGAAAUUCGGGUUCUGGACUGCUCGUCUUCUUCGCCCGAUUCCAGCCACCACCGCGCGUCAUCGUCGGUGAAAUCCAUCACCACAAGGAAGCUGCGUCUCGAGAUUUCCAACGGCACCUCCCAAUCAACGGAAUUAAAUCUCUAAGGGUGUCAGACCUAAACUUGGUUACACCAAACCCUCACUUGGAAACUUGAUAAUUCCGAUUAAUUUAGGUGAUUCCAGCCAAGACUCUGCUAGAGAGAAUGGCGGAGAUAGAGAAAACGUGAGCAAGAGAGAGAGAGAGAAGAGAGGAAGAUAGACAGAAAGAGAGAGACGGUGAGGUAGAUAGAGAGAAAGAGAGACGGUGAGAGGGUGAGCUGGGGAGGAGAAAAGAAG
Molecule: long non-coding RNA, 7257 nt
Filed under: Erythranthe guttata (spotted monkey flower)
Lineage: Eukaryota; Viridiplantae; Streptophyta; Magnoliopsida; Lamiales; Phrymaceae
Description: long non-coding RNA (EGUT_LNC002110)
Source: RNAcentral